GGAGCUUGAAACUUAAAAUUUUUGGCGGUUUUUUAGGCUAGUUAGAGGAAUCUGUCCUUUUAUGGAUAACCCACAGUUGAUUUUACUUUCUUUAUAGUUUAUAUAUCGCCGUCGUAAAAUAAAUUUUUUAGGGUUUGUUUGGAAACUAGAGAUAGUGGAGAGAUGACAGGUCAAGGUUUAGCUGAUGAGAAAGGGUGAGAUGGAUUACAUUGAAAGAUAUUCAAGAUGGAAAUUGAGUGGAAAUUGAUUUGGAAAAUGGAUUUAAAAGUAAUUAUUGAUUAUAAUGUUAUAUUGGAUAUAGCUCUAGAGAAUGUACAUAUCGCCCGUCACUCUCGUUGAUGAGAUGAGAUAAGUCGUAACAAAGUGGGAGUAUUGGAAAAUGCGUCUGGAGUCAA
This 395-nucleotide ribosomal RNA is filed under the name Heterophrynus longicornis. Its description in RNAcentral is "12S ribosomal RNA". It matches the Rfam family "Microsporidia small subunit ribosomal RNA", at positions 766 to 1311 of the family's 1311-position model. The record is from RNAcentral. Lineage: Eukaryota; Metazoa; Arthropoda; Arachnida; Amblypygi; Phrynidae.